AACGCACCUUGCGCCUCUUGGUAUUCCGAGAGGCAUGCCUGUUUGAGUGUCUUAUAAAAUCAAUCCCCACGGGUUUCUUGACCCGGCGGUGGACUUGGAGUUGGGCGUUUGCCGGUCACACGGCUCGCCUUAAAGACCUUAGUGGGAUCGAUGGCCUAUGGCUUGACGUAAUAAGUUUCGUCUCGUCCGGUCUUCUGAGCCUGCUCACAACCCUGCCCUCGGGCAACCACUUUAUGCUAGACCUCAAAUCAGGUAGGACUACCCGCUGAACUUAA
Molecule: unclassified non-coding RNA, 275 nt
Filed under: Ascochyta sp.
Lineage: Eukaryota; Fungi; Ascomycota; Dothideomycetes; Pleosporales; Didymellaceae
Also listed under: 2 other names
Description: partial contains 5.8S ribosomal RNA, internal transcribed spacer 2, and large subunit ribosomal RNA
Rfam family: 5.8S ribosomal RNA (bases 1-52)
Source: RNAcentral